Non-coding RNA from Microcebus murinus (gray mouse lemur), 662 nucleotides. The record is from RefSeq and is a predicted model, not a curated record. Lineage: Eukaryota; Metazoa; Chordata; Mammalia; Primates; Cheirogaleidae.
CUGCAGAUGGAAUUGACUGAGCUCUCAGUAGAUGACAUGUUAAAGUCGUUGUUAGAUACUAAGCAAGAUACCAUUGAAAUAUGAAAAAUUCAGUGGAAUAUCUACGCCUUUGGCAUCAUGCCUCCAAGAUGCUUUCUUGCUUUUCAACCACUUACUGCUGUGAAUCUGCAUUCUCCUAACCUAACCGAAAUCAAGACACCCUUAAGGUGGACAAGUGGCUGAUGCCCAUCUAGAGGAUCAACAGUGGCCCUCUGUGCUGUAACCAAAUACUCAAAUGCUUUCCAACAAAAAGCAGACACAACAAAGUCAUUAAAAGAUUAUUGGAUGUUAGAAUUUCUAAAAGAAAAGAGAAGGUACAACCACAAGUGUCCCCUGGAACUGAUCUCUUCCUUAAACCAUGGGAAGUCCAAGACAUCCAACUGAAACUAGCUUCACUGCAAAAUAAAGCAGAGAUCAAGCUUUUCAAUACAAAGCCCAGAUCAAGCUUCUUCAACACAAAAAGCCGGCAGCCUCAACAAAAUCCCAGGAAGCGGAAUUCAAGCAGUGAAAGAUAAUGUUUUGUUGAAGUUGUCAUUGUUCACCCUUCAAAAAUGUAAGCUGUAAUUCCGAACCAAAACCUAAGUUACUGUUUUUGGCAUUUUGUGAUUUAUUGUAGCAUUAUC